RNAcentral lists this microRNA (19 nucleotides) under Tribolium castaneum (red flour beetle). Its description in RNAcentral is "tca-miR-3868-5p". The record is from miRBase by way of RNAcentral. Lineage: Eukaryota; Metazoa; Arthropoda; Insecta; Coleoptera; Tenebrionidae.
ACCAGCACCAGUAUGUAUU